UACCAUGCUGAAUAUACCGGUUCUCGUUAGAUCACCGAAGUUAAGCAUUAUUGGGCGCGGUCAGUACUUGGGUGGGUGACCACCUGGGAACACUGCGUGCCGUU
This 104-nucleotide ribosomal RNA is filed under the name Caerostris darwini. The record is from RNAcentral. Lineage: Eukaryota; Metazoa; Arthropoda; Arachnida; Araneae; Araneidae.